UGUUUAACAAACAGAGUGAGAAUAGAAUGAUGAGCACUUCACCGCUUCAUCUCCUGCACGGCAACAGACUGAAAUAACUACGACAACACGCCCUCGGCCCUGGCAGAGGAAUCAAUUAUGUAUGCGGACUUUACAAUUUGUCACAUCAUGUCUUCAUUUCCAUGCGUGCCACGUAUUUGAUCUUCUUGAAGAUGGAAUAAAAAGUAAAGGAGAGAGAUCUGAGUGGAUCUUCAGAAGAUGGAGAACACUAGAAAGACUAAUGAACGCAUCUUUGUGCGGCGGCGGCGGCGGCGACGACUCCAAGACGGCGCCAUGAUCCUCGGAGCCAUUCUCCAGCCAUGAUCGGAUCUCCUGACUGAUGCCUUCAGCGGACCCGGAGGCUGUAAGGUCAAUCAGACCUUCUUUCCUAUUAUUUGCGAGGUUGCCUGCAGUGGGCGUUUUGCAAUGUACAUCCGUGACAUGAUGGCCUCUUUCUUGGAAGGGUUACCACAUGGGCUUCCUGGACACCUUUUUGUUUCCAAAAUUUCUGCUCACUAAUCCUCUCCAGACAUUCAAACAAACCUUGAGCUGAUGGAAACUUGGUCCUGCUGACUCGAUUGAUCCAAAAUUUAUUUCUGAGGAAUGUCAUCCUCAAUAUGGGAAGUUUGAUUAUGCAAUUAUAGGAAUAAUUUUAAAAUGUUAUGCAACACUGGUAAACAGAACCUAUAUGGACAAAAGAAUUGGGACACUAGGUCUUUACCCUGAAAACGUCUGGGGGGUGGGAGGGGUUCAGUUUAUUUUUUAAAUAAAAAAAA
This is a long non-coding RNA of Syngnathus acus (greater pipefish), 794 nucleotides long. RefSeq lists it as uncharacterized. The record is from RefSeq and is a predicted model, not a curated record. The transcript is spliced from 2 exons. NCBI's taxonomy places the organism in Eukaryota, Metazoa, Chordata, Actinopteri, Syngnathiformes, Syngnathidae.